CACGUUGAAAACCAGUUUCCGUACAAUCAUUGAAGUUAAGCAACGUUGAGCCUGGAUAGUACCUAGAUGUGUAACCGCUUGAGAAUACCAUGUGCUGUAAG
Molecule: non-coding RNA, 101 nt
Organism: Acanthosepion pharaonis
Lineage: Eukaryota; Metazoa; Mollusca; Cephalopoda; Sepiida; Sepiidae
Source: the annotation of a GenBank genome assembly